CCCUUAGAGUUUGAUCCUGGCUCAGGACGAACGCUGGCGGCGUGCCUAAUACAUGCAAGUCGAGCGAUCCGGCACUCAACUGAGCGCCAUACGCUGUGGAGAAACCGAGUGGGCUUCGAGCGGUUCACGGACGGUAGUAUCCCGAUGUGGUCUGAGUUGAGUGCCGGAGAGCGGCGAACGGGUGAGUAACACGUGGGCAACCUGCCUUCAAGACCGGGAUAACUCCGGGAAACCGGAACUAAUACCGGAUAAGAGAGGCACCGCAUGGUGUAUUUUAAAAGGCGGCGCAAGUCGUCACUUGGAGAGGGGCCCGCGGCGCAUUAGCUCGUUGGUGAGGUAACGGCUCACCAAGGCGACGAUGCGUAGCCGACCUGAGAGGGUGAUCGGCCACACUGGGACUGAGACACGGCCCAGACUCCUACGGGAGGCAGCAGUAGGGAAUUUUCGGCAAUGGGGGCAACCCUGACCGAGCAACGCCGCGUGAGCGAGGACGGCCUUCGGGUUGUAAAGCUCUGUCAUGUGGGAAGAACGGCGGAGGGAGGGAAUGCCCUUCGCGUGACGGUACCACAGGAGGAAGCCCCGGCUAACUACGUGCCAGCAGCCGCGGUAAUACGUAGGGGGCGAGCGUUGUCCGGAAUGAUUGGGCGUAAAGGGCGCGCAGGCGGUUUCUUAAGUCUGAUGUGAAAGGCCACGGCUCAACCGUGGGAUGGCAUUGGAAACUGGGGGACUUGAGUGCAGGAGAGGAGAGCGGAAUUCCGGGUGUAGCGGUGAAAUGCGUAGAGAUCGGGAAGACACCAGUGGCGAAGCGCUCUCUGGCCUGUACUGACGCUGAGCGCGAAAGCGUGGGGAGCGACAGAUAGAUACCCUGUAGUCCACCCGUAACGAUGAGUG
This 891-nucleotide ribosomal RNA is filed under the name uncultured bacterium. Its description in RNAcentral is "bacterial SSU rRNA". It matches the Rfam family "Bacterial small subunit ribosomal RNA", at positions 1 to 815 of the family's 1533-position model. The record is from RNAcentral.